UAAAUACUCACACCGUCCAACAAAAGAUGUCUCAAGUUUGUUAAAAUUUGGAUGUAUCUAGACAUGACUUAGUAUAUAGAUGCAUUCAAAUUUAGUCAAAGUUAAGACAUCUUUUGUUGGACGGAGUAUAUC
This is a non-coding RNA of Brachypodium distachyon (stiff brome), 132 nucleotides long. The record is from Rfam. NCBI's taxonomy places the organism in Eukaryota, Viridiplantae, Streptophyta, Magnoliopsida, Poales, Poaceae.